CUCCGGUUGAUCCCGCCGGACCCGACUGCUAUCAGAGUGGGACUAAGCCAUGCGAGUCAACAUAGCAAUAUGUGGCAUACGGCUCAGUAACACGUAGUCAACAUGCCCAGGGGACGUGGAUAACCUCGGGAAACUGAGGAUAAACCGCGAUAGGUCAUCACUUCUGGAAUGGGUAAUGACUUAAAUCUAUAUGGCCCCUGGAUUGGACUGCGGCCGAUCAGGCUGUUGGUGAGGUAAUGGCCCACCAAACCUGUAACCGGUACGGGCUUUGAGAGAAGGAGCCCGGAGAUGGGCACUGAGACAAGGGCCCAGGCCCUAUGGGGCGCAGCAGGCGCGAAACCUCUGCAAUAGGCGAAAGCUUGACAGGGUUACUCUGAGUGAUGCCCGCUAAGGGCAUCUUUUGGCACCUCUAAAAAUGGUGCAGAAUAAGGGGUGGGCAAGUCUGGUGUCAGCCGCCGCGGUAAUACCAGCACCCCGAGUGGUCGGGACGAUUAUUGGGCCUAAAGCAUCCGUAACUUGUUCUGCAAGUCCUCCGUUAAAUCCACCUGCUCAACAGAUGGGCCGCGGAGGAUACUACAGGGCUAGGAGGCGGGAGAGGCAAGCGGUACUCAGUGGGUAGGGGUAAAAUCCUCUGAUCCACUGAAGACCACCAGUGGCGAAGGCGGCUUGCCAGAACGCGCUCGACGGUGAGGGAUGAAAGCUGGGGGAGCAAACCGGAUUAGAUACCCGGGUAGUCCCAGCUGUAAACGAUGCAGACUCGGUGAUGGGUUGGCUUUGAGCCAACCCAGUGCCGCAGGGAAGCCGUUAAGUCUGCCGCCUGGGGAGUACGGUCGCAAGACUGAAACUUAAAGGAUUGGCGGGGGAGCA
RNAcentral lists this ribosomal RNA (867 nucleotides) under uncultured archaeon. Its description in RNAcentral is "bacterial SSU rRNA". It matches the Rfam family "Archaeal small subunit ribosomal RNA", at positions 1 to 878 of the family's 1478-position model. The record is from RNAcentral.